GAUGAGCUUUGGUUGUGUUAGUAGCAAUUGGAACAAGCCACUGCAAAGUUUUCUCAAUUUCAGCUUUGAUUUGUGUGACUGUAAGCUCUUCCUUUACAUGGAAUNGGAGCGCAAGGCAGAUUUGAUACUGGGUGGCAACGCUUGGUAUAAGGCAUCCCUUGUAUUUGGAGGGACAGAAUUUGAUCGGGACACCAAAGUGUCAAUCUGAGUGAUAAUAUUUGCAUAAUGCAAGGCAAGACUAGCAGAACCCAAUUUUCUCUGACAGCUCGAACCUUUUACCGGUCUAUCAGCAUCAGCACUACCAAAAGCUUCAUGGAUCUCCAAGUGC
Molecule: unclassified non-coding RNA, 328 nt
Filed under: Hevea brasiliensis (rubber tree)
Lineage: Eukaryota; Viridiplantae; Streptophyta; Magnoliopsida; Malpighiales; Euphorbiaceae
Source: RNAcentral